GAUGAACGCUGGCGGCGUGCCUAAUACAUGCAAGUCGAGCGAACAGACGAGGAGCUUGCUCCUCUGAUGUUAGCGGCGGACGGGUGAGUAACACGUGGAUAACCUACCUAUAAGACUGGGAUAACUUCGGGAAACCGGAGCUAAUACCGGAUAACAUGUUGAACCGCAUGGUUCAACAGUGAAAGACGGUCUUGCUGUCACUUAUAGCUGGAUCCGCGCCGCAUUAGCUAGUUGGUAAGGUAACGGCUUACCAAGGCAACGAUGCGUAGCCGACCUGAGAGGAUGAUCGGCCACACUGGAACUGAGACACGGUCCAGACUCCUACGGGAGGCAGCAGUAGGGAAUCUUCCGCAAUGGGCGAAAGCCUGACGGAGCAACGCCGCGUGAGUGAAGAAGGUCUUCGGAUCGUAAAACUCUGUUAUUAGGGAAGAACAAAUGUGUAAGUAACUAUGCACGUCUUGACGGUACCUAAUCAGAAAGCCACGGCUAACUACGUG
This 497-nucleotide ribosomal RNA is filed under the name uncultured bacterium. Its description in RNAcentral is "partial 16S ribosomal RNA". It matches the Rfam family "Bacterial small subunit ribosomal RNA", at positions 28 to 507 of the family's 1533-position model. The record is from RNAcentral.